AUACUUACCUGGCGUAGAGAUUACCGUGAUCAUGAAGGCGGUUCCUCCAGAGUGAGGCUUUUACCAUUGCACUUCGAUACGAGCUGACCUCUGCGAAUGUCCCUAAUGUGGACAUCUCGGA
RNAcentral lists this small nuclear RNA (121 nucleotides) under Ooceraea biroi (clonal raider ant). RNAcentral describes it as "U1 spliceosomal RNA". It matches the Rfam family "U1 spliceosomal RNA", at positions 1 to 120 of the family's 166-position model. Rfam says of the family: U1 is a small nuclear RNA (snRNA) component of the spliceosome (involved in pre-mRNA splicing). Its 5' end forms complementary base pairs with the 5' splice junction, thus defining the 5' donor site of an intron. There are significant differences in sequence and secondary structure between metazoan and yeast U1 snRNAs, the latter being much longer (568 nucleotides as compared to 164 nucleotides in human). The record is from Rfam by way of RNAcentral. Lineage: Eukaryota; Metazoa; Arthropoda; Insecta; Hymenoptera; Formicidae.